This is a small nuclear RNA of Cercocebus atys (sooty mangabey), 89 nucleotides long. The record is from Ensembl. NCBI's taxonomy places the organism in Eukaryota, Metazoa, Chordata, Mammalia, Primates, Cercopithecidae.
GUGCUUGCUUCAGUAGCACAUACACUGAAACUGGAAUGAUACAGCUGCUCAAGGAUGAUGCACAAAUUCGUGAUGUGUUCCAUACUUUU